Molecule: transfer RNA, 538 nt
Filed under: uncultured cyanobacterium
Lineage: Bacteria; Bacillati; Cyanobacteriota
Description: partial contains 16S ribosomal RNA, 16S-23S ribosomal RNA intergenic spacer, and 23S ribosomal RNA
Rfam family: tRNA (bases 209-281)
Source: RNAcentral
CAGGGAGACAACAAAAUGUUUAAUAUUAUUUUGUCACCUUAGGUCGAUCGGUAUCUCACGUUUUUAAUUUAUUAAGAAUUUCAUUUCCUAAGUUUUUCUAGGUCACACCCAUUAUUUUUCCUGGGCCAUUAGCUCAGGUGGUUAGAGCGCACCCCUGAUAAGGGUGAGGUCCCUGGUUCAAGUCCAGGAUGGCCCAUAUCUCUAUGUUGGGGGUAUAGCUCAGUUGGUAGAGCGCCUGCUUUGCAAGCAGGAUGUCAGCGGUUCGAGUCCGCUUACCUCCACUGAUUACCACCUCUUCCAUAACCGGUAUAAAGGAAAUGUUUUGAGUUGUGAUCAAAUUCUGAAAGAAUCUAGCUUCCUAAUGAAAUCAUUAAGAUGCUGGACUCAUUGAAUUUAUUUCAUUGUUUUCAGAGAACCUUGACAAUUGCAUAGAUUAUUUUUAAAGACAAUAAGCAUUUUUAAUAAUGCAGAUUUAUUAUUAUUGCGAAUGCAUUAAUAACAAUUCUAUUAAGCUGAUGCUUCAAUUUUUGAAGUUAUU